Molecule: ribosomal RNA, 274 nt
Filed under: uncultured bacterium
Lineage: Bacteria
Description: partial 16S ribosomal RNA
Rfam family: Bacterial small subunit ribosomal RNA
Source: RNAcentral
AUACGGGGGGAGCAAGCGUUGUCCGGAAUCAUUGGGCGUAAAGGGCACGUAGGCGGUUUCUUAAGUCGAAUGUGAAAUCUCACGGCUCAACCGUGAAACUGCGUUCGAAACUAAGUGACUUGAGUUUGGGAGAGGUGUACGGAAUUCCUGGUGUAGCGGUGGAAUGCGUAGAUAUCAGGAAGAACACCAAUGGCGAAGGCAGUACACUGGCCUGAAACUGACGCUGAGGUGCGAAAGCGUGGGGAGCAAACAGGAUUAGAAACCCCGGUAGUCC